UACGUAGGGGGCUAGCGUUAUCCGGAAUUACUGGGCGUAAAGGGUGCGUAGGUGGUUUCUUAAGUCAGAGGUGAAAGGCUACGGCUCAACCCCCGAACUGCAUUUGAAACUGUUGGUCUUGAGUAUCGGAGAGGCAGGCGGAAUUCCUAGUGUAGCGGUGAAAUGCGUAGAUAUUAGGAGGAACACCAGUGGCGAAGGCGGCCUGCUGGACGACAACUGACGGUGAGGCGCGAAAGCGUGGGGAGCAAACAGG
RNAcentral lists this ribosomal RNA (253 nucleotides) under uncultured bacterium. Its description in RNAcentral is "partial 16S ribosomal RNA". It matches the Rfam family "Bacterial small subunit ribosomal RNA", at positions 524 to 776 of the family's 1533-position model. The record is from RNAcentral.